CUCACAUCCGUGCUGGACAUAGUUAGGGACCAUUUUCUCUAAAGUUACAGAACAAUUUAAAAAAUUCUGGGUUUCUGUUGUCACCAGGAUCACUCUUUCAAUUCUAGUCCUUUUCAAGGUGCAUAUGACACUAACAUUGUGGACAGUUGGAGGGAGGGCGGGGGGCAUCUCAAGAAUCAAAUGAGAGAACCAAGACUAACCAAUGUUCGGCUGGCCUGGUGGCAUAGUGGUUGGGUUCACGAGCUCGCUUUGGCGGCCUGGGGUUCACCGGUUCGGAUCCCGGGUACAGACCUACACACUGCUUAUGAAGCUAUGCUGUGGCAGGCAUCCCACAUAUAAAAUAAAGGAAGAUGGACACAGAUGUUAGCUCAGGGCCGAUUGUCCUCAGCAAAAAUAGGAGGAUUGGCGGCGGAUGAUAGCUCAGGGCUAAUCUUUCUCAAAAGGAAAAAAAAAAAAGAAUAAACAAUGUUCUUAAUAACAUGGGAUAUGGACUGAAAAAGUUAGCAGGAAUACAUUCAAAUUUUCUAUCUAAUUCAAGCAGUAAGGAGUGCUUCCUUCAAAUAAAUUCACAUGAAAAUAAAUAGGACCUGAAUGCAAUAUAAUCCAAACAUAUGAUGUGAUUAAGUGAGAAAAAGAUGCAGACACAGACUGUGUUGACAGAGGAGAGGUGGACUCAAGAGAGAACAGUUUCAUUGUAUUCUGCUGGCAUCCUCUGCUCCCAGUCUUUGUAACAUUCUUUAGGGGAUUUUGACGAAUGCAGGCACAUUCUGGGGACAGUGACUGCAAUGGGGCAGGUUCGGGGACCAGUCAGGUCAAGAGUUGCCACAGGAUUUGAGGUUGUUAUUCUUAAAAUAUGUAAAGGAUGUCACGUGGAAAAAUAACUUGAUUUAUUCUGCAAAUCUCUAGGGAAUAUACCAAAACCAUUAAGCAGGAAAUCAUGAAAUAUUUAUUAGUUGUCUCUUGCUAGGUGGAGUGCCAGAUGCCCGGGAAAGAGGAGGAAUAAGACAGACACAGCCCCUGCAUUCAAAGAGGGAGAGGUUGUGAAACCUAGAAGAAAAUGAGCCUUUGGAGUCGGGCUGAAGAGCUUCCAGUCGUGCCUUAUCAAUGGGCAGCAGCGUGAACUUGUAUGAAUCACCCAACCUCGCUGAGCCUGAGUGAACCCAGCUGGACAAUAUUCAGAGUCAAACGUUACCAUCACAUGUUGGGGAUUUUCCCUCGGGUAAACUAAAGCUUUGAGCACGUCCUAACGUCAUUCUGAAAGAAGGGACGCUCCUCGGAGCCUCGUGGAGGUUUUGCUUAUUCUUUGGCGCCUCAACAUAGACAAGCUCAGACUCCUCCUCGCUUUAUUGGCAACAAUAACAACAAAUUUCUCCAUUCACAUGAAGCGUUUAUUAGGUAGUAAGCAGAUGUUACCGAGGAGACCAAAACAACAACUGGGUGUAUGUGUGUCUGGGAAAUUGGAUGAAAUGAAAAGGUUUACAUCCUGACAAGUCAACGUCAAAUGAAACAACAGAUGAUCAAUAUGCCCUGUUACCUCACCACCUGUAACCUCACUCACUGCCCCUCUCUGUUUUUCUGGCCUUUCUCAUUUUUCCUGUUUCUUCGGCAUUUACAGCCAUCACUUCUUUUGAAGAGCUAUUACAGCAACUUUCUGCCCUUUCUUAGAUGGAACAUCUUUCUCCUCCCAAAUUCUUCCUUCCCAAUUCCCUUAGAUUCUAAUCUACCCUAAGGAAAAUGCUGACUUUUUAUCAGAUAUACUAUAAUUAUGAUAAGGAAACAAUGAAAUGGUAAACACAAAGACCGCCUAAGAAAAAGGGCACAUAUUUAUUGCAAGUGAUGAAAAUAAUGCAAACUAAAAUAAGACUUUCAUCCAGAAAAGCAUAUAAAAUCCAGGUAAGGAAUGCAGUCUUUCCCAUUCUCUGGAAAGCUCCUCCUGAACCAAAGGAGAAAGUUCUUUCCCUUUCUGCUCUCUUUCACUUAACUAUAGGGACUAUUUAGUGUUUUUCUUCCUAAGUCCUAUAUUCCCAUACACAGUAAUAGUGAGCACUGUUGUUUGAGCUUAUUAAUAGAUUGAACGACAUGUUCAUUCAUUCAGCAAACAGACAUGUUUAUCUGAAAUGGAGAUGCAAAAAUAAAUCAGACAUUUUGCCUUCAAAGGCAUUACAGUCCAAUGAUUAUCAUUUAAAUAAAUUAUACGUGUUGUCAGUAUUAUGAUAAGCCUGUGUUUUGAGUAGAGAGGGACCACACAAGAGGGUCUGGACAGUUUUUCACUGACAAU
This 2278-nucleotide long non-coding RNA is filed under the name Equus asinus (donkey). Its description in RNAcentral is "lncRNA (ENSEASG00005037274.1)". Lineage: Eukaryota; Metazoa; Chordata; Mammalia; Perissodactyla; Equidae. The record is from RNAcentral.